This 77-nucleotide transfer RNA is filed under the name Bacillota bacterium. RNAcentral describes it as "tRNA-Asp". It matches the Rfam family "tRNA". Rfam says of the family: Transfer RNA (tRNA) molecules are approximately 80 nucleotides in length. Their secondary structure includes four short double-helical elements and three loops (D, anti-codon, and T loops). The record is from RNAcentral. Lineage: Bacteria; Bacillati; Bacillota.
GGACCAUUGGUGUAGCGGUCUAACAUGCUUCCCUGUCACGGAAGAGACCACGAGUUCGAAUCUCGUAUGGUCCGCCA